Non-coding RNA from Vicia faba (fava bean), 285 nucleotides. The record is from the annotation of a GenBank genome assembly. NCBI's taxonomy places the organism in Eukaryota, Viridiplantae, Streptophyta, Magnoliopsida, Fabales, Fabaceae.
AUGGACGUGAAUGAAAGACGAGUGAGGUUUGCUAUUGACAAUGAUUAUGAAAGCGAGACAAGGUGCAAAUGCAGGAAGAGUUGGAAAAUCAUUGCACCAGAAGCUGGUAUUGCAUUCAUUCUUGGACAUUCUUAUGUGAAAACAAAGCAAGGUUCAUCAUUGUUGAAGAAGUUGGCACUAAGCUAUGGAUACAAUUUCUUGAGAAGAAAUUGUAGAGGGCCUGAUGUGGCACUUAAGGUUCCACAAGUUUCUUUGUUGGAGGUUGGAGUGCUCUAUAUUGUGUAG